Molecule: long non-coding RNA, 4064 nt
Filed under: Homo sapiens (human)
Lineage: Eukaryota; Metazoa; Chordata; Mammalia; Primates; Hominidae
Description: non-protein coding lnc-PERP-2:33
Source: RNAcentral
AUCUCCAUUGUUCCUGCCAGCUCUGGACCCCAGGCUGCAUGAGACGUAGGUCCCAGGGGACACCCGACCCCGUGGCCCCAGUCUUAGGUAAACUUAGGAAUCAGAACAACACUCACCCCUAUGCCGCGCUUGCUCCAUUUCCCCUUGUCUAUUUCUGCUCACCAAGCAUCCAGCUGACAUUGCAUUCAAAGCAGCAUUUCAGCUUAGAAAUCGCUUCUAGUCCAUCACGGUGCUUGCCAUGUGUCUCCAAGGCUUUAUUAGGUGUGUUUUUAGUUGUCCUGAUAAUCAGUUCACCCCAGGGUGCUGAUGGCUGAUAAUACUGGCGCUUCCCUCCCUACCCCCAUGCGUUGCACAGGGAGGGUGAGUCAUGUGGAGAUGGAUGCAGCCCCCUGGGCAGUGGGGGUGCAGGUGCUGUGCAGGGAGGAGUCUUAGGGCGUUUUUACUGUCUUACUGCCCUCUAAGCACGGGACCCUUUGGAUCAUUUACUAGAUUGGCUAAACUAGAACCGGAUGGAAAUAUUCUGUACUAUGGUCCCCUUAAUUACAUUUAAGAAUACUUGUCAGGCCAUAUAUCACAGGUUUUUAAUUAGAAAAGUAUCCUCCUCUCGCCAGUAAGGACUUGCAGAGAUGGGGGUGGGGGCUGGAUGGAGGGUGGCACUUUUUUGGCAAAAAGAAGUUUGGAGCAGAGUGUCACUAGUGGCCUCUCUGAAGACUGGUCCUCGUCUUUUAAAACCGAUGGCUGGAAUUUCUUCCAGUUCCAAACCUCUUGUUAUUUGUCCUCUCUUCUUGUUCACAAAUGUGCUAUCAACAUUCAAACAAUGGAUAGUCAGCUAUCCAUUGUAAAUGGACCUUGCUGGAGUCCAGGGCUAGCAGAAAUGACAGGGUCUAAAAUGACAUUUAUCAAGUACUUGCUAUAUGCUUAUAUAUGCUUUUUAUAUGAAGGUUAAGAAGCUUGAGGCAUUUGCCCAGUUUCCACAACCAAAAGGGGCAGAGUCGCCAGUGGCAUUAAGCCUGUGUUACUCCAAAGCCCAUAAUGACCAGUCUUACUAGACCAUUCCUCUCAGGAAAGAUCCUGUGAGACAGGUACUCUUUUGGUGUCCUGUCUCCCAGCCUCUCAAAACAGCCAAACACGGACCUUAGACAGAAUGCGGCUUCAGAGGUAGAAGGGUCUUGGUUUCACCUUCAGGAAACCUCCUGGGUUUCAGUUGAGCUGGCAGAAGAAGAUCAUGUAUCUGAAAGACCCUGCAUGGAAUGUUAAUCCUCACACCACUCUCCUGCUGGUGCUCCUUUGUAAACAGAGUUGGCCUGUUUCCUCUCAUCUCUGGCUCCAUGACUUCAAUCCUCCUGCAGCUUCCACUGCCCCUAUCUGGCUCAUGUCUUGCUGUCUGGUGUCAUGAACUGGGAGUGCAGUAAAGAGGAGUGACAAGCCUGAGGGGCCACGUUCAUACCUGCCACUGCCAACUGUCCUGAUGUAACUGCUUUGUCAUCUUGCCUGCCAGGAUUUGUGACAAGCAAGGGAGAGAUGCACUGACCUUCUGCCAGGUAUAGAACUAUUGAAUGGUACAGUUUGAGAUCUUCGAAACCAUCAGGACUGAUCAUUUUCUGGCUACUUUCUACAUAGGAAUCCUAGAGUUCCUUGGAGAGGAUAUGAAGGUUAUUCUCAGGCCAUGCAGAUGGGCAAGAAAGGAUGUGCGUCCAUGGUUCCUCUUCAAAUCCAACCAAAACAGCCUUGCUUCCGUUGGCUUUAUAUAAUACUGCAACUCUUGAUAAUCUGAUUUAACACAAAUUUCCUCAUUGAGUUUCUCCUCAUGAAGAAACGGCCUCAGUGAGGUAAAUCGGAAUGCACAGGAGCACAUAGCAGGUUAGUGCAGACCAGAAAUCAAACCCAGGCUUUCUGACUGCUCAAUAGACCACAAUCUACCAUGCUACCAUGGAAACUUUAAAACAGAUGAAAGUAAAAACAAACAAACAACAACUUAAAAAAACAAAAACAAAAACAAAAGCAAAACCCAGAGCCUCUCUAGGAAAUACCAACGUGCUUUUGCCAAGUGGGGUUUCUCUCACUUCAUAAGAGCAGUAAACACUAAACCAAGGGAAUGUGAAUUUAGAGGUUAGAAAAGAUAACCAGAGAUUUGGCCGUGCGUGGGGCUCAUGCCUGUAAUCCCAGCACUUUGGGAGGCUGAGGCUGGUGGGUUGCCUGAGGUCAGGAGUUUGAGACCAGCCUGGCCAACAUAGUGAAACCCUGUCUCUACUAAAAAUACAAAAAUUAGCUGGGUGUGGUGGCGUGCACCUGUAAUCCCAGCUACUAGGGAGGCUGAGGCAGGAGAAUCGCUUGAACUGGAGAGGUGGAGGUUGCAGUGAGCCGAGAUGGUGCCAUUGCACUCCAGCCCGGGCAAGAAGAUUGAAAUUCCAUCUCAAAAAAAAAAAAAAAAGAAGAAGAAGAAGAAAAGAUGCCAGAGAUUUGGCGGGGUGCCGGGCUCAUGCCUGUAAUCCCAGCACUUUGGGAGGCCAAAUGGACAGAUCACUUAAAGUUAGGAGUUCCAGAAAAGAUGCCAGAGGUUGGGCCUUUACAUUGUUUUGUAAAUUCGUCAAACCUUAAUCUUAUUUAACUUCCCCACCUAUACAAAAAUUAAUGCAGUAAUUGCUUUUUAAGGAAGCAUUCCAAAGGCCAAAUAAUUCAUAUAUGUCAAGUACCCUGGGAUUCAGGAAAGAAAAAUUCUCUAUAGCUCUAAAGCAAGGAUUAUAAUUUGAGGUUUCCUGACAGUUUUUUUUAAGAAAAGAAAUACCAACCUUUCUUUUCUGGGCCAAAUGCCAAGGUAGGUAAUAACCCCUUGCCCAUUUUCUUUCCCCAAGCUGUUUUAACUAGAUAAGAGCUCUGCCUUCAUUUCCUUUUGUGAACUGACUUGGGAUGUUGCCACAUGCCCUUCAACUACUGUCAAUGCUCUAGUUUGCUGAGUGCUUUCCCCUUCAGAAUGGAAAAGGUUUUGGCAUAAAUAUCUAGCUUUCUUCAAGGUACAAAAUGCUUUCCAAGGAGCAGAGGACAGAGGGAACAAACUUUCAUGUUUCCCAAUUGUAUUAGUCUGUUCUCAUGCUGCUAAUAAAGACAUACCCAAGACUGUGUAAUUUAUAAAGGAAAAAGGUUUUACUGACUCACAGUUCCACAUGGCUGGGGAGGCCUCACAAUCAUGGUGGAAGAUGAAGGAAGAGCAAAGGGAUGUCUUCCAUGGCCAGCAAAAAGAGAAUGAAAGCCAAGGGAAGGAGAAAACACCUUAUAAAAUCAUCAGAUCUCAUGAGACUUAUUCACUACCAUGACAACGGUAUGGGUGAACUGCCCCCAUGAUUCAGUUAUCUCCCACCGGGUCCCUCCCACAAAAUGUGGGAAUUAUGGGAGCUACAAUUCAAGAUGAGAUUUGGGUGGGGACAGAGCCAAACCAUAGCACCAAUACUAGAUCCCUCAGCUUCAAGGUGGCUCCAGUGAUCCUAAGAGGAUCAAGGAAGCCCUACCUCCCUGCUUGUCCUGGAUGUCUCUGACACAUGUUAAGGGAAAAGCAUUAAUAAAGUGCUCAAGAAACAAUUGUUCAAUAGGUCAGUCUUAUAGUCAAUACCUCAUCCCAUGCUCUGUCCCCUACUCUUUGAAAAACUGCCCAAAGAAACAAUGGAUCCACGGAGUCACAAAAACAGGGCAUCCAGUGACCCUCCCCAUCUUACCAGCAAUGUGACUUUCCCACAGUAUAACGACAGCAGUGCCCAGAGCCCAAUACAAGCAGGGCUCUACACUGAGACAGAGCUGAGUUCUAGUAGCAACUACCCUCCUUAUAGCAGUGUUAUUUUAGGCAAGUUUCUCAGCUUCUGGAAGGUUCUUUUCUCAGGCUUACAUACUUUUUACCCGAAAAGAUCUUGGAGUCGUCCAUAUCAGCACAAGCAAUCUACAUUAUUAGUUUUUUUAAUGGCUGCACAGCAUUCCAUGAUAUGGCUGUACCAUUACUUAACUAUCGAUGAACAUUUAGGCAGUUUCCAGUCUCUUUCUGCAGGAGCCAAUGCUGCAAUGUGGUGGGUCAUAACUUU